GUGCCCAGAGAGUGGUGUGUCUGCAGUGCCCAUCUGUGUAUUUGGCCCCAAACCCACCCCUUUUGGGUCUUUGUCCCUCUUGUCACAACCUGAGUCUUGGGACCCAAGAGCAGGGAGUCAGGUGCACGCUGACCCUGCGGAACACUGUGUUGUGGUGAGGGGGCUGUCUGCUUGUUGGGUCUCUGAGCAGUCCUCUCCCUGCAGAUGUGGAUGUCAUUGCCAAGUUUGCCCAGCUUGAGUUUCAGCUGGGGGAUGCAGAGCGGGCCAAAGCCAUUUUUGAGAACACGCUGAGCACCUACCCAAAGCGCACAGAUGUCUGGUCGGUCUAUAUCGACAUGACCAUCAAGCACGGCAGCCAGAAGGACGUCCGGGACAUCUUUGAGCGGGUCAUUCAUCUGAGCUUGGCCCCCAAGAGAAUGAAGUUCUUCUUCAAGCGCUACCUGGACUACGAGAAGCAGCAUGGCACUGAGAAGGAUGUGCAGGCAGUCAAGGCCAAGGCCCUGGAGUAUGUGGAGGCCAAGAGCUCAGUGCUAGAGGACUAGUGGCAGGCUGGCUCUGUGGGACACUGUCAACAAUGGGCCAGCCCGGCCCCGCCUCGAGUGCCUGGGCACUCGGAAAACUGUUACCUCAGGACUCUAUUUAAAUGCUGCUUUUUCUGCAGCACCCUUGGGGGAAUCCUGUCAGGAUGAAAAGGAAGUUGAGAUUUUUUAAAUCCCU
This 717-nucleotide small RNA is filed under the name Pan troglodytes (chimpanzee). RNAcentral's name for it is "retained intron". The record is from RNAcentral. Lineage: Eukaryota; Metazoa; Chordata; Mammalia; Primates; Hominidae.